RNAcentral lists this transfer RNA (92 nucleotides) under Pseudogymnoascus destructans. RNAcentral's name for it is "partial tRNA-Pro". The record is from RNAcentral. Lineage: Eukaryota; Fungi; Ascomycota; Leotiomycetes; Thelebolales; Thelebolaceae.
GGGUCUUGUGGUCUAGUGGUAUGAUUCUCGCUUAGGGUACACCCUACAGCAAUGUUUGCGAGAGGUCCCCGAUUCGAUCUCGGGCAAGACCC